This is a long non-coding RNA of Juglans regia (Persian walnut), 1073 nucleotides long. RefSeq lists it as uncharacterized. The record is from RefSeq and is a predicted model, not a curated record. Lineage: Eukaryota; Viridiplantae; Streptophyta; Magnoliopsida; Fagales; Juglandaceae. The transcript is spliced from 4 exons.
UGGGGAAUGAGGCUGGCAAGUGUCCCUCCCGACCAGAUAGAGGCAGGGAGUGGAUUGGGCAAUUGUCCACCCUAGGAUUUCCUCACUCAGCAUCCCUUGCUCAGCAUUCCUCCCUCGCUCAAUGCAGAACAUUCAAGCCUAAAGCUCGAUGGACAAAGAGGAAGAUAAGGCACAAAGUUAUAAUGACCCGCCAAACAUAUCCUUGACAGAUUGUUCAAACUCUAUGAAGGUUAUGGCUUUGUUUAUAGAUUGUUUUGGUCAACCUUGUUCUUAUUAUUGUUGGCAAAUUGAAACUAAUGAUAUAUUGCUUUUGUUUUUUGUUUUUAUCUAGGCUUUUAUGAUGCCAUAUCAAAAACAUCUGUUGUUGGGUUAUAACCUCUAUAUGCUCCUCCAAUCCCGAAUGCCCAUCCAAAUCCAUAUCCUGCACCACGUCCCUAUCCUACAAAUCCAUAUGGUCCAACCCCAUACGCUAAUCAAAAUUUAUACAUGCAACCAAAUCUCUAUGCUCCGCCUCCAAACCCAUAUGCUACUACAAAUCAGAAUGCUCCAUCUUCAAGCAUCAAUGCUCCUUCAACUUGUUACCCCUAUAUAUGGGGCUAUUACGUCAAUAUAAUACAUUUUUUUGACUAAUUUAUUAUACGUAAUAUUAUUAAUCAAAUUUCAACUUUAUUUGAUGGGUUCGUUAAAGUUAAUUAACUUAUUAGCUUUUAACCACUUUGUAGCCUCCAGUUAUCCAACCAUUUGGCUCAUGUAGCAUGGAUAAAUCAAGAAAAGUUGAGGAAUUUGCUAAAAGUAGGCAUGACAAUACUUCACAAACAAUUAAUUAGAGUAUGAAGAAGGAGCUCCCUGCAAGUAAAGAAGGUACAAGUUUCCACUGAAGCGAGCAUAAUAUUGAACAAGUGGAUUGCAUUAUUCAAACUGGAAGAAUGUACAACGCCCACUGGAGUCUAAUACAUACUGGAGUCUAAUGCGUGUUUUGAUGGCUGCCAUGAGACUAUAUUUUUGUUUUGUACAACAUUUUGUUUAGCAUUGAUGGCUAUAAAUUGUUUAGCUUUGAUGGCUCCAAUGGCUGC